CCUACGGGGAGGCAGCAGUGAGGAAUUUUCUGCAAUGGGCGAAAGCCUGACAGAGCAAUACCGCGUGAGGGAAGAAGGCUUACUGAGUUGUAAACCUCGGUGCCUUAAGGAAGAAGAUCUGACGGUACUUAAGGUGGAAAGCAUCGGCUAACCCCGUGCCAGCAGCCGCGGUAAGACGGGGGAUGCAAGUGUUAUCCGGAAUCACUGGGCGUAAAGCGUCUGCAGGUGGUUUCUUAAGUCCACUGUUAAACCUUGAGGCUCAACCUCAAAUCUGCAGUGGAAACUAAGAAACUUGAGGAUAGUAGGGGUAGAGGGAAUUUCCAGUGGAGCGGUGAAAUGCGUAGAUAUUGGAAAGACACCGAUGGCGAAGGCACUCUACUGGGCUAUGACUGACACUCAGAGACGAAAGCUAGGGGAGCAAAUGGGAUUAGAUACCCCAGUAGUCCUAGCCGUAAACGAUGGAUACUCGAUGUUGGACGUAUCGACCCGUUCAGUAUCUUAGCUAACGCGUUAAGUAUCCCGCCUGGGGAGUACGCGCGCAGAGUAGAACGUACAAGAAGUAGACGCGAGAGACGUAGACGACGACGACGACGAGGAGAGG
This 601-nucleotide ribosomal RNA is filed under the name uncultured bacterium. RNAcentral describes it as "bacterial SSU rRNA". It matches the Rfam family "Bacterial small subunit ribosomal RNA", at positions 338 to 961 of the family's 1533-position model. The record is from RNAcentral.